CUUUCAGCGACGGAUAUCUCGGCUCAGGCACCUAUGA
Molecule: ribosomal RNA, 37 nt
Filed under: Symbiodinium sp. Zits03
Lineage: Eukaryota; Dinophyceae; Suessiales; Symbiodiniaceae
Also listed under: 1 other name
Description: partial 5.8S ribosomal RNA
Source: RNAcentral